UCUCCUUUUUCAAGACUCAAAGGCCAAACCAAAUCAACUGGAAACUACACAACCACCAACAAAUUUACCCAAGUAUUCUCAAACAUCAUAAAUUCGGAUGGGCAACCGGCAGCGCCCACCCCAGUGCCUUCCCCAAUGCCACCUUACCCCAGCAAGUGCUCCAUUCAGACAUACUCCAGGGAUGAAUGCAGCAUCUGCUUGUCAUGUGCAACAAAACGUGGCCACUUGUAAACUGUUUCACUGUACACAUUUUUAUUCAGAGCAUAUAAGCAAAAGAAACGAAUCCAUUGUAUUAUCAUGUGUAAAUACAACUCUUUCAAAUACUA
Molecule: long non-coding RNA, 326 nt
Organism: Daphnia pulex (common water flea)
Lineage: Eukaryota; Metazoa; Arthropoda; Branchiopoda; Diplostraca; Daphniidae
Exons: 2
Source: RefSeq, a predicted model, not a curated record